UCCGGUUGAUCCUGCCGGAGGUCACUGCUAUUGGGAUUCGACUAAGCCAUGCGAGUCGAGAGGGUUCGGCCCUCGGCUGACUGCUCAGUAACACGUGGAUAAUCUGCCCUAUGGUGGAGGAUAACCUCGGGAAACUGAGAAUAAUACUCCAUAGGUCUAGGAUACUGGAAUGCACCUAGACUCAAAACUCCGGUGCCAUAGGAUGAGUCUGCGGACUAUCAGGUUGUAGUCAGGGUAAAGACCUGACUAGCCUACGACGGAUAUGGGUUGUGAGAGCAAUAACCCAGAGAUGAUAUCUGAGGCACGAUAUCAGGCCCUACGGGGCGCAGCAGGCGCGAAAACUUCACAAUGUGCGAAAGCGCGAUGAGGGAAUCCCAAGUGCUUGCACGUAAGUGUAAGCUGUUUUUAUGUUUAAAACGCAUGGAGAGUAAGAGCUGGGUAAGACGGGUGCCAGCCGCCGCGGUAAUACCUGCAGCUCAAGUGGUGGCCGCUAUUAUUGGGCCUAAAACGUCCGUAGCCUGUUUAAUAAAUGCCUGGGUAAAUCGUGUAGCUUAACUAUACGAAUUCCGGGUAGACUGUUAAACUUGAGACCGGGAGAAGUUAGAGGUACUCCUGGGGUAGAGGUGAAAUUCUGUAAUCCUAGGGGGACCACCAGUGGCGAAGGCGUCUGACUAGAACGGGUCUGACGGUGAGGGACGAAGCCCUGGGGCGCAAACCGGAUUAGAUACCCGGGUAGUCCAGGGUGUAAACGCUGCUUGCUUGAUGUUAGUCGGGCUCCGAGCCCGAUUAGUGUCGGAGAGAAGUUGUUAAGCAAGCUGCCUGGGAAGUACGGUCGCAAGGCUGAAACUUAAAGGAAUUGGCGGGGGAGCACAGCAACGGGUGGAGCGUGCGG
This 892-nucleotide ribosomal RNA is filed under the name uncultured archaeon. RNAcentral describes it as "bacterial SSU rRNA". It matches the Rfam family "Archaeal small subunit ribosomal RNA", at positions 1 to 900 of the family's 1478-position model. The record is from RNAcentral.